Molecule: ribosomal RNA, 506 nt
Filed under: uncultured bacterium
Lineage: Bacteria
Description: bacterial SSU rRNA
Rfam family: Bacterial small subunit ribosomal RNA
Source: RNAcentral
UGAGUAACACGUGGGCAACCUGCCUGUAAGACUGGGAUAACUCCGGGAAACCGGGGCUAAUACCGGAUAAUCCUUCUUGCCACAUGGUGAGGAGUCAAAAGGCGGCUUUUAGCUGUCACUUACAGAUGGGCCCGCGGCGCAUUAGCUAGUUGGUGGGGUAAAGGCUCACCAAGGCGACGAUGCGUAGCCGACCUGAGAGGGUGAUCGGCCACACUGGGACUGAGACACGGCCCAGACUCCUACGGGAGGCAGCAGUAGGGAAUCUUCCGCAAUGGACGAAAGUCUGACGGAGCAACGCCGCGUGAGUGAUGAAGGUCUUCGGAUCGUAAAACUCUGUUGUCAGGGAAGAACAAGUAUGGUAGUAACUGACCGUACCUUGACGGUACCUGACCAGAAAGCCCCGGCUAACUACGUGCCAGCAGCCGCGGUAAUACGUAGGGGGCAAGCGUUGUCCGGAAUUAUUGGGCGUAAAGCGCGCGCAGGCGGUCCUUUAAGUCUGAUGUGAA